AUACGAAAGGGGCUAGCGUUGUUCGGAAUCACUGGGCGUAAAGCGUACGUAGGCGGACUGGAAAGUUAGAUGUGAAAGCCUAGGGCUCAACCCUGGAACUGCAUUUAAAACUCCCAGUCUGGAGUCCGGUAGGGGAGCAUGGAAUUCCUAGUGUAGAGGUGAAAUUCGUAGAUAUUAGGAGGAACACCAGUGGCGAAGGCGAUGCUCUGGGCCGGUACUGACGCUAAGGUACGAAAGCGUGGGGAGCAAACAGGAUUAGAAACCCCAGUAGUCC
Molecule: ribosomal RNA, 274 nt
Filed under: uncultured bacterium
Lineage: Bacteria
Description: partial 16S ribosomal RNA
Rfam family: Bacterial small subunit ribosomal RNA
Source: RNAcentral